UACAGAGGUCUCAAGCGUUGUUCGGAUUCAUUGGGCGUAAAGGGUGUGUAGGUGGCGCGCUAAGUCGGGUGUGAAAUUUCGGAGCUUAACUCCGAAACUGCAUUCGAUACUGGCGUGCUUGAGGACUGGAGAGGAGACUGGAAUUUACGGUGUAGCAGUGAAAUGCGUAGAUAUCGUAAGGAACGCCAAUGGUGAAAACAGGUUGCUGGGAGUGCGCUGACGCUGAGACACGAAAGCCAGGGGAGCGAACGGG
Molecule: ribosomal RNA, 253 nt
Filed under: uncultured bacterium
Lineage: Bacteria
Description: partial 16S ribosomal RNA
Rfam family: Bacterial small subunit ribosomal RNA
Source: RNAcentral